RNAcentral lists this ribosomal RNA (549 nucleotides) under uncultured bacterium. Its description in RNAcentral is "bacterial SSU rRNA". It matches the Rfam family "Bacterial small subunit ribosomal RNA", at positions 355 to 895 of the family's 1533-position model. The record is from RNAcentral.
UAGGGAAUCUUCGGCAAUGGACGGAAGUCUGACCGAGCAACGCCGCGUGAGUGAAGUAGGUUUUCGGAUCGUAAAGCUCUGUUGUAAGAGAAGAACGAGUGUGAGAGUGGAAAGUUCACACUGUGACGGUAUCUUACCAGAAAGGGACGGCUAACUACGUGCCAGCAGCCGCGGUAAUACGUAGGUCCCGAGCGUUGUCCGGAUUUAUUGGGCGUAAAGCGAGCGCAGGCGGUUAGAUAAGUCUGAAGUUACAGGCUGUGGCUUAACCAUAGUAGGCUUUGGAAACUGUUUAACUUGAGUGCAAGAGGGGAGAGUGGAAUUCCAUGUGUAGCGGUGAAAUGCGUAGAUAUAUGGAGGAACACCGGUGGCGAAAGCGGCUCUCUGGCUUGUAACUGACGCUGAGGCUCGAAAGCGUGGGGAGCAAACAGGAUUAGAUACCCUGGUAGUCCACGCUGUAAACGAUGAGUGCUAGGUGUUAGACCCUUUCCGGGGUUUAGUGCCGUAGCUAACGCAUUAAGCACUCCGCCUGGGGAGUACGACCGCAAGGUU